AGAUGACCUGGCAUUAGUCUAAUUGUAUAAAACUAAACAGUUCUCUGACUAAACUUUGAGGUAUCGACCCUUGAUACAUAAUAUAACUCCUAUAACUCUUGAGGACUUGUGGUGAAAUAAACACAUAACAAAUAAUAUUGGAACAUGCUAUGCUUUAUUCUGUUGCGGUCAUAUUGAGCAACUCAAAAACUUCCGGGUAGGUUGCUGAAGCGUAGAUUUCCUGCUUACAAGUGUGCGAGGCAGCCAAGUGUUUAUGGUAUAUGUAUGUAUGUAAGUCGUUGUAAUUGUAUACGUGUAAAAGCAGUUAGCAGUUAAAUCUACAGACCCGUCAGCCAAAGCAGUCAGUGGUUAAUGACGAAAACAGUUAAAAUUGCUCGACCAACAGCAAUAUGACGAUGUGAAAAAGUGGAAAAUGUGCAUGUAAGCAACGAACCGAUCCAUUUCUGGUUGAACACUCACCUGCAUGGUAUGAAUCUGUCAAGCGAUGUUGAUGUGGAGGCUGCUUCAAAGGAGUUGAAAAGAUUUCG
Molecule: long non-coding RNA, 527 nt
Organism: Bactrocera neohumeralis
Lineage: Eukaryota; Metazoa; Arthropoda; Insecta; Diptera; Tephritidae
Exons: 3
Source: RefSeq, a predicted model, not a curated record